RNAcentral lists this unclassified non-coding RNA (240 nucleotides) under soil metagenome. RNAcentral describes it as "partial contains 5.8S ribosomal RNA, internal transcribed spacer 2, and large subunit ribosomal RNA". The record is from RNAcentral.
AACGGUCUAUACCUGCGGUACCUGCGGAGGGAUCAUUACUGAGUAACGUGGUCUUUUAGACCCGGUACCCGCCCUUUGUCAUAUGUUGGACGAGGUCGUCUUUAGGGGCGGCCUCCGACCCCACUUCCCGGGAAGCGUUGCGCCUCAUCAGGUCUAGGCCUUUGAUGAGGAUGGGACCGCCCGGGGUCUUUUUCAAACCCUUUGUGAGAAAUCUGAAGUCUGAAGCGAAAGCUUAAAAUA